Molecule: long non-coding RNA, 237 nt
Organism: Brassica oleracea var. oleracea
Lineage: Eukaryota; Viridiplantae; Streptophyta; Magnoliopsida; Brassicales; Brassicaceae
Exons: 3
Source: RefSeq, a predicted model, not a curated record
UAAAGGACUUAGCUGGCAGCAUCUUUGAAUGAACUUUACACGGCUGGCACCGAAAAGCUUUCUCUGUCACUGAAACACGUUGUACAAUUACAAGAUGGAUGCUCCACUGAAUGAGAGGGAUGGAAGACUUUUAAUGAUGGUUCUACUUUGCUGAAAUAGGAAUGAGCUUCCAAUGAAUAAAGCGAUCUAUAACUCUUUGGAUGAAGAUGAGACACUAAGAGAGCUGAUAUAGUAGGU